Molecule: ribosomal RNA, 467 nt
Filed under: uncultured bacterium
Lineage: Bacteria
Description: partial 16S ribosomal RNA
Rfam family: Bacterial small subunit ribosomal RNA
Source: RNAcentral
GAUGAACGCUGGCGGCGUGCUUAACACAUGCAAGUCGAACGGGAAGGCCUCUUCUUGCAGGCGAACUCGAGUGCCGAACGGGUGUGUGUCACGCGGGUGGUCUCUCCUGCACUUCGGGAUACGCCUGUGAAACUCGGCCGCUUAUCCGGUAGAAUAACGUUAUGGAUACUGUUGUGGAAUGAAUUACGGUGUGGGAUGAGCUCGCGGUCUAGCAGCUUGUUGUUGGGUUAAUGGCCUGCCAAGGUGUCGCCGGGUAGCUGGACUGUGAGGGUGUACGGCGACAGUGGGACUGAGAGACGGCCGAGGCUCCGACGGGAGGCAGAAGUGGGGAAUAUUGCACAAUGGGCGCAAGGCUGAUGCAGCGAGGCCGCGUGGGGGAUGACGGCCUUCGGGUUGAAAACUCCUUUCGCUAGGGACGAAGCGUUUUUGUGACGGUACCUGGAGAAGAAGCACCGGCUAACUACGUG